This is a long non-coding RNA of Eubalaena glacialis (North Atlantic right whale), 1329 nucleotides long. RefSeq lists it as uncharacterized. The transcript has 3 exons. Lineage: Eukaryota; Metazoa; Chordata; Mammalia; Artiodactyla; Balaenidae. The record is from RefSeq and is a predicted model, not a curated record.
GGUCCGUCCUGGGCGCGCGUCCGGGGGCGGAGACAGCGGCGCGGCAAAGGAGAGGCAGAGAGGUCGAGCAGCUUGCCCGAGGCCGCCCAGCACCCAGAAUGGCAAAGUCCGAGCCCUGCCCUGUGAAAGUGCCCCUGGAUGACAGGUCCGUGGGGCAAACUCUGUCGUGAAGUAAAUGGAGUUUCCAGAGGCCGGACGUUACAGGGAAACGAGCCUUUCCUGCCCGGGAAGCUGCUUUUGCCCAGGAGGGUGGAGAGGAUGGCUGCUGGGUGCCUGCUCCCCUGGCCCCAGUGAGGCUUCCUCUUCCCCCGAAAGGCACCCAGUAUGUCCAGAGGGAACACACCUGUCAGAAGCGGAGUGCCCUUGCUUUGUGGGAAAGAUGGGAGAAUUCACCAUGAGCGUCUGGGCCAGGCACUCGGGCUCCUCCUAAGUGUAGGGAGACUUGCACUGUAUCCCCAGAGGAGGGCUGUGCUUCCUUCCCAGGGCCUGGAGCAUCUCUGCACCACCUGAAGACCCUGCAGUUUCUCCCAUAGGGCAGGGAGGGCCUCCCCCAAGGUGCCUUCCUCUUUAAAACAUUUAUAUUUUUUAAAAUUGUGGUAAAGUACACAUAACAUUAAAUUUAUCAUCUUAACCAUUUUUCCUCUUUCAAAAAAAAUUUUAUUGUGGUUAAAUACAUAUAAAGUUUACCAUUUUAACCAUUUUUAAGCGCACAGCUCAGUGGCUUUAAGUACAUUCACACUGUCAUGCAGCCAGCCCCACCAUCCACCUCCAGAACUUUCCCAUCUUCCCAAACUGAAACUCUGUCCCCAUGAAACACUGACUCCCCAGCCCCUCCCCAGCCCCUGGAACCCACCAUCUACUUCCUGUCUCUGUGGAUGUGACUCCUCUAGGGACCUCCUGUGAGUGGAAUCAGACAGUAUUUGUCCUUCUGUGUCUGGCUUAUUUCACUGAGCAUAAUUAUUCUCCACAUCAGAAAAACAGGGCUGAUCCACAGUUCGGUUUCAGGUGCCCUAGGGAAACAAGCCCUUUCUCGUGGACGUUUGCAAGUCUCCCAGAUGGUCCCUGCAGCAUCCGUGAGACUCUCAUAGUUAGAAACCGUCAGGUGUCCUGGAUCUGCGCUGGUCCUUGAGUCGAAGUCCUGGUUUUUGCGCCUGGACCCGCUCUCAGGUCAGCCUGGCUGAAACAGCCCACACGGACACGGUCAGGUUUCAGCCCGGAGCUUUGCAAAAAGCAAAGAAGUUGUGUCCCACUAAGACUUUUUUCCCACCUUUCCCUGAUUGGAAUGAUCUCUCUGUUAUGAAAUUAUAAUAAUAUAUUUAUAUCAUUUGU